RNAcentral lists this ribosomal RNA (460 nucleotides) under uncultured bacterium. Its description in RNAcentral is "partial 16S ribosomal RNA". It matches the Rfam family "Bacterial small subunit ribosomal RNA", at positions 338 to 795 of the family's 1533-position model. The record is from RNAcentral.
CCUACGGGAGGCAGCAGUGAGGAAUAUUGGUCAAUGGGCGUAAGCCUGAACCAGCCAAGUCGCGUGAGGGAUGAAGGUUCUAUGGAUCGUAAACCUCUUUUAUAAGGGAAUAAAGUGUGGGACGUGUCCUAUUGUGGAUGUACCUUAUGAAUAAGGAUCGGCUAACUCCGUGGCAGCAGCCGCGGUAAUACGGAGGAUCCGAGCGUUAUCCGGAUUUAUUGGGUUUAAAGGGUGCGUAGGCGGCCGUUUAAGUCAGCGGUGAAAGUCUGUGGCUCAACCAUAGAAUUGCCGUUGAAACUGGGGGGCUGGAGUGUGUGUGAGGCAGGCGGAAUGAGUGGUGUAGCGGUGAAAUGCUUAGAUAUCACGCAGAACGCCGAUUGCGAAGGCAGCCUGCCAAGGCAUGACUGACGCUGAUGCACGAAAGCGUGGGGAUCAAACAGGAUUAGAUACCCGAGUAGUC